UUACAUCAGCAGUCAUCUCUGUGAUAGAGUGUGGAUGGUACUACUGCCAAGUACCCUUGCUGGAAUAUCCACCAAAACCUAGUGGCUAAUACAUGGAUGGAACAGUCUGCUGCAUCAUGGUUGUAUCGGUGGUUUACCAUUGGUACUUCCAGCAGUGGAUUACACUCAGCUGCUUAUGAAGACCGGCGUCUGUACAAAGACAGUGUAUCGAUGGAUGAUUCAGGCUGAUCCUAUUGGACACCUGUGCUCGCAGAGUGGAAUCUUCAUUGGUUCAGCAUUGCUUGAUCACACGAACUUCUGACCUAUCAGCUUGGACUGUAGUGCAGUGGACUACAGUGGCAGUUACGGGUAACGGAGAAUUCGGGUUCGAUUCCGGAGAGGGAGCCUGAGAGAUGGCUACUACUACCAAGGUGGGCAGCAGGCACGCAAAUUACCCAAUGUCAAAGCAUUCGAUGAGGUAGCGACGAACUGCAGCAAUCUUGCUUGACCUUCGUGUUGAGUGAGACUUGUAAUGGAUGCAAUCCAAACACAGUGAUGAGUAUCAACUGGAGGGCAAGUCUGGUGC
RNAcentral lists this ribosomal RNA (565 nucleotides) under Phacus acuminatus. Its description in RNAcentral is "SSU rRNA". It matches the Rfam family "Eukaryotic small subunit ribosomal RNA", at positions 101 to 567 of the family's 1831-position model. The record is from RNAcentral. Lineage: Eukaryota; Euglenozoa; Euglenophyceae; Euglenales; Phacaceae.